CCCAUACAAAGAUUCAUACAAAUCAGCUAUCACAUGAGUCCUCAAUUGAAAUUGUACAACUUUCUCUUUCCUUAAUACAAAUUUUCUUUAAUUCGUAUGCUAUCCUUUACAACUCAAUCUAAGUUCUUCUUCCCGUACUACUUCGUAGUACCAUUCAUUCAUAGCAUUAGCUAUAAAUCAUUCAUUGUUUAACAGCUCAUAUGUUACUACGAUUUACUAUGAUCACGUGGUGAUCUUCUUAUCCUUCUCUUUACGAUUAUAGUCUUAGGUACUCAUACCUAAGGUUUAUAACCUAUCAGCUCUAAUACCAACUUGUAACGCCCCGAAAUCCGGUCUAUCUUCACACCCGGAUUCCGUGCGUCACGAGUACAUCAUUCUUCCAAACAUACAUCAUUAUAUACUGAAAUAUAAUAACAUACAUUCUAAAUUC
This 430-nucleotide long non-coding RNA is filed under the name Panax ginseng (ginseng). RNAcentral's name for it is "long non-coding RNA (PGIN_LNC009657)". Lineage: Eukaryota; Viridiplantae; Streptophyta; Magnoliopsida; Apiales; Araliaceae. The record is from RNAcentral.